CAGAAAAUAGUUUAUAAAAUAUUAAUUUUGGGAAUUAAAGAUAAAGGUUAACUCCUUUUUUUCUGA
RNAcentral lists this transfer RNA (66 nucleotides) under Neoeriocheir leptognathus. RNAcentral's name for it is "tRNA-Pro". It matches the Rfam family "tRNA". Rfam says of the family: Transfer RNA (tRNA) molecules are approximately 80 nucleotides in length. Their secondary structure includes four short double-helical elements and three loops (D, anti-codon, and T loops). The record is from RNAcentral. Lineage: Eukaryota; Metazoa; Arthropoda; Malacostraca; Decapoda; Varunidae.